This 323-nucleotide ribosomal RNA is filed under the name uncultured eukaryote. Its description in RNAcentral is "partial 18S ribosomal RNA". It matches the Rfam family "Eukaryotic small subunit ribosomal RNA", at positions 1470 to 1796 of the family's 1831-position model. The record is from RNAcentral.
CCCUUAGAUGUUCUGGGCCGCACGCGCGCUACACUGAACAGUUCAACAAGUCUUAACCUUGGCCGAUAGGUCUGGGUAAUCUUUGAACGCUGUUCGUGAUUGGGAUAGACCUUUGCAAUUAUGGGUCUUCAACGAGGAAUUCCUAGUAAACGCAAGUCAUCAGCUUGCAUUGAUUACGUCCCUGCCCUUUGUACACACCGCCCGUCGCACCUACCGAUUGAAUGGUCCGGUGAAAUCUCCGGACUGGCGUGAGUCGGAGCAAUCUGACAAACGCCGGAAAGUUGAUUAAACCUUACCAUUUAGAGGAAGGUGAAGUCGUAACA